GACGACACUGCCACUCACCGACUACCGACCACCUUUCCUCUCCUCUUGCUGUCCUCUCUUCUCUCGACCACCCACCAUUGACUCUUUUCUCUGGUUGUCCUGUUUCACCUCUCUCCUCUUGCGACGACAUUGUAGCCAUUCAGAGGUAAAGACCACCGACCACUGACUCUCUUCUCUCGCCCUCUUGUUUCGUCUCUCUCUUCUUUCGACAACAUCGCAGCCAUUCAGAGAGAACAAUAUCUGCCAUAGACAUUCAACGAAUUGCAAAGGAGCUGGGCCAGAGCUUUAUUGACAAGGAGAUUCAAGAGAUAAUAGAGGAAGCAGAUCGUGAUCGAUUGGGGUGAAAAAGCUAUGGAGCUAAAGAGGAUAAAUAAGACUAUAUUACUCCGAUGGAAUUGUAACAAGGACCUCUGACAUUCCAACACAGCUGGUUGUGAAAGUAGAUUGGAUUUGUUGUAUCAUCCAUGAUAUUCUGGUAUCAACAAUAAGUGCCUUCAGCCAUAGGUUAUCCUUACAUGGGUGGGUCUGUUGGGUGCUAGCCUUGCUAGAUUGGUGGGUCCAAAUCGGCAACAUCACGGCAACAAAUCAUCUGUUUCUUAAUGCUCAAUAGUGGUGAUUUGCAGAAUGAUGAGUUGUGGUGUAGAGGAUGUGAGCAGUGGGUUUUGUUUUGGGGCUGAAGAUUCAUAAUGGAAUGAUUCCCACUCACUCCCACCCCGUAUCUCAAUUGAAAUUUUGGUUUUGUUUAAUUGAUACAAAGGUGUAUAAAAGUGGCAGUUGUCCAUGAUAUUGCAGAAGAUAACAUCUUUGCAUUUACAUUUUUUUAUUGGGUUUCUCAUUACGCAUUCUUUUGCUGUGAUGAGUAUAUUGAAGAAACACAAUGAUAGUGAGAAUUUUGAGUAAAUUGUUGUAUAAUAAUUAAUUGGGCAAAGCUUUUUGUCAUGAGCCUGCCUGUAAUGGGAUUCCAAAUUAGAUGUAAUUAUUUAUUUUCAUU
Molecule: non-coding RNA, 991 nt
Organism: Camellia sinensis
Lineage: Eukaryota; Viridiplantae; Streptophyta; Magnoliopsida; Ericales; Theaceae
Source: RefSeq, a predicted model, not a curated record